Molecule: transfer RNA, 74 nt
Filed under: Candidatus Azoamicus ciliaticola
Lineage: Bacteria; Pseudomonadati; Pseudomonadota; Gammaproteobacteria; Candidatus Azoamicaceae
Description: endosymbiont of Plagiopylea sp. tRNA-Val(gac)
Rfam family: tRNA
About the family: Transfer RNA (tRNA) molecules are approximately 80 nucleotides in length.
Source: RNAcentral
UAGGCAUGUAACUCAAUGGUAGAGUGUCACUUUGACGUGGUGAUUGUUGGUGGUUCGAUUCCACUCAUGCCUAU